RNAcentral lists this ribosomal RNA (497 nucleotides) under uncultured bacterium. RNAcentral describes it as "partial 16S ribosomal RNA". It matches the Rfam family "Bacterial small subunit ribosomal RNA", at positions 28 to 507 of the family's 1533-position model. The record is from RNAcentral.
GAUGAACGCUGGCGGCGUGCCUAAUACAUGCAAGUCGAGCGAACAGACGAGGAGCUUGCUCCUCUGACGUUAGCGGCGGACGGGUGAGUAACACGUGGAUAACCUACCUAUAAGACUGGGAUAACUUCGGGAAACCUGAGCUAAUACCGGAUAAUAUAUUGAACCGCAUGGUUCAAUAGUGAAAGACGGUUUUGCUGUCACUUAUAGAUUGAUCCGCGCCGCAUUAGCUAGUUGGUAAGGUAACGGCUUACCAAGGCAACGAUGCGUAGCCGACCUGAGAGGGUGAUCGGCCACACUGGAACUGAGACACGGUCCAGACUCCUACGGGAGGCAGCAGUAGGGAAUCUUCCGCAAUGGGCGAAAGCCUGACGGAGCAACGCCGCGUGAGUGAUGAAGGUCUUCGGAUCGUAAAACUCUGUUAUUAGGGAAGAACAAAUGUGUAAGUAACUAUGCACGUCUUGACGGUACCUAAUCAGAAAGCCACGGCUAACUACGUG